GACGAACGCUGGCGGCGUGCUUAACACAUGCAAGUCGAACGGAAAGGCCCUGCUUGCAGGGUACUCGAGUGGCGAACGGGUGAGUAACACGUGGGAGAUCUGCCCUGCACUUCGGGAUAAGCCUGGGAAACUGGGUCUAUUACCGGAUAGGAGCCAUUUUUAGUGUGAUGGUUGGUAAGUUUUUUCGGUGUAGGAUGAGCUCGCGGCCUAUCAGCUUGUUGGUGGGGUAAUGGCCUACCAAGGCGGCGACCGGUAGCCGGCCUGAGAGGGUGGACGGCCACAUUGGGACUGAGAUAAGGCCCAGACUCCUACGGGAGGCAGCAGUGGGGAAUAUUGCACAAUGGGCGCAAGCCUGAUGCAGCGACGCCGCGUGGGGGAUGACGGCCUUCGGGUUGUAAACUCCUUUCGCUAGGGACGAAGCUUUUUGUGACGGUACCUAGAGAAGAAGCACCGGCUAACUACGUG
RNAcentral lists this ribosomal RNA (465 nucleotides) under uncultured bacterium. RNAcentral's name for it is "partial 16S ribosomal RNA". It matches the Rfam family "Bacterial small subunit ribosomal RNA", at positions 28 to 507 of the family's 1533-position model. The record is from RNAcentral.